This 507-nucleotide ribosomal RNA is filed under the name uncultured bacterium. RNAcentral describes it as "partial 16S ribosomal RNA". It matches the Rfam family "Bacterial small subunit ribosomal RNA", at positions 28 to 507 of the family's 1533-position model. The record is from RNAcentral.
GACGAACGCUGGCGGCGUGCCUAAUACAUGCAAGUCGAACGCAUUUUCUUUCACCGUAGCUUGCUACACCGAAAGAAAAUGAGUGGCGAACGGGUGAGUAACACGUUGGUAACCUGCCCAUCAGCGGGGGAUAACACUUGGAAACAGGUGCUAAUACCGCAUAAUUCCAUUUACCGCAUGGUAAAUGGAUGAAAGGCGCUUUUGCGUCACUGAUGGAUGGACCCGCGGUGCAUUAGCUAGUUGGUGGGGUAACGGCCUACCAAGGCUGCGAUGCAUAGCCGACCUGAGAGGGUGAUCGGCCACACUGGGACUGAGACACGGCCCAGACUCCUACGGGAGGCAGCAGUAGGGAAUCUUCGGCAAUGGACGCAAGUCUGACCGAGCAACGCCGCGUGAGUGAAGAAGGUUGUCGGAUCGUAAAACUCUGUUGUUAGAGAAGAACAAGGAUGAGAGUGGAAAGUUCAUCCCUUGACGGUAUCUAACCAGAAAGCCACGGCUAACUACGUG